Small nucleolar RNA from Dendrobium catenatum, 107 nucleotides. The record is from RefSeq and is a predicted model, not a curated record. NCBI's taxonomy places the organism in Eukaryota, Viridiplantae, Streptophyta, Magnoliopsida, Asparagales, Orchidaceae.
AAGGCAUGGUGAGGACACUUUCUAAGCAUAUCCUUAAAUCUCUCUGAACUCUCAUAAAUAAAUUCUCCUUCAAACUAAGUAAAAGAAAUAAUAUCAUUUCUAAGUUU